CAUAUGCUUGUCUCAAAAGAUUAAGCCAUGCAUGUGUCAGUAUAAGUAUUAUAUAGCGGAAACUGCGAAUGGGCUCAUUACAUCAGUCAUAAUUUAUUUGAUAUUUGAAAGUUACAUGGGAUAACCGUGGCAAUUCUACAGCUAAUACAUGCGUUCAUACCCGACUUUACGGAAGGGUAGUAUUUAUUAGAUAUUAAACCAAUCCCCUUCGGGGUUGCUG
Molecule: ribosomal RNA, 220 nt
Filed under: uncultured eukaryote
Lineage: Eukaryota
Description: partial 18S ribosomal RNA
Rfam family: Eukaryotic small subunit ribosomal RNA
Source: RNAcentral